Lactuca sativa (garden lettuce) is the source of this 1534-nucleotide non-coding RNA. NCBI's taxonomy places the organism in Eukaryota, Viridiplantae, Streptophyta, Magnoliopsida, Asterales, Asteraceae. The record is from RefSeq and is a predicted model, not a curated record.
UUUCUCCUCCCUUCCUCUCCUGUGGUUGCCGUUGUUGCCUACUUCGACCUGUCCUACCCUUCCCUUUUCCCCAACCUAGGAGCAUCUGUCGAUGACUUCUCUGCUUCAUCCGUUCAACAGAUCGUCGAUCAUUGCCUCUACGAUACCAUCAACUACUCCAGACCUGUGAACAACAUGUCUAAAUCUCGCGUCUACGCGGAUUUCAAUGUUGUUCGCCCUAUGGAAUACUAGGAUUAAGAAGCACUUACUGUUCAAUGGGGGUCGGACGAUUGGUAACCAUGCGGGUGUAAUCGGAUUUUUGUACACUGGUAUGGAGAGCGGGAUGGUUAAGGCUAGGGAUGCAGAUGAUAUUAUUAACAACGUGGUGGCUGGAUUAGCGACUAGAGCGCUUUACAAGGCGGAGACUGUUGCCGGAGCUAUUGGUGGAAUAGCUGUGGGAUUAGCCAUGACAGGGAAGCAGAUUUUGAAGAGAUACAUACCAAUCUGAGCUUGAUCUGUAUUCAAUUUCAUCUUUACGUUUUUUUACAUUGGUGGAAUAGCGGUGGGAUUAGUUAUGUCUGUUUACCCUUUUGAUCUUUACGUUUUUCUACAUUUGGUAUAUUGUGCUAAUUUUCCUUCGCUCCUUUUUGGGAACAAAUGGUGUAUGUUUUGCUUAUAUACAACAAGAAAGAGAAAUAUAAAUGACUUGAAGCAUCAGUGUUCCAUCAGGUGAUCACCUACACUGCUAGAAAACAAGAAAGUUUUCUACUCUAAUGAAAUAAGUACAUGUCUUUAACACUAGAGCAAGGUUCCAUCAUCUCCAAUUUGGCUGCAAUACGUCCAACAUAACCUUCCACAUCAUUGUUGAGAUAAACCAAAGGUGUGUUUCCGAUCAACUGCAGUUCCUCCAAAUGACACAAUGUUUGUAACCAUGAGAGAGAGAGAGUGUGUGUGUGUGUGUGUCAUACAUCUUAUGAUAGGCGACCAGGUAAUAUGUUUCUCAUUUCUUGUUAUUUCCGUUUUUGCCCUUGUUUACAUUUCAUUCAUAAACCAGGUUCCAGCUUAUUGGAUUUUCAUUUCUGGUUACUCUCUUUCUAUUGAUGAAUCAAGUAUGACUGGCGAGAGUCACACUAUUAGGCUAUCUGCCUGUGAAAUGAUGGGUUCUGCAACUACAAUUUGCUGUGAUAAAACUGGAACCUUGAAUUCGAAUUUGUGGGAUAUUUUUCUUUUCUUGAUGACUGGUCGAGGCUUAUAUUUGUGGGAAGAAAAAUGAUCCACCAAAUGACACGUCAACAUUACCUCCAAAGAUUGUAUCUCUUCUUGUUGAAAGUGUAGCUCACAAUACAACUAGCAGUGUAUUUUCCCCUGAGGUAGGUAUUUUGAAUAUGUACCUUACGAGAGCACCAAUCCUCUUCUAUACCUUUUUUUUUCUUGGUGUUAGUGAUCUUUAAUCAAUUAUGAAAAAAGAAAAUUCACUGUCAAUGUUGGUUUGGUGCUUAAUUAAUACGGAGGCAUAGAUGUUGAGGUUUCUGGAUCUCCAAGAGAGAAGGCCAUA